RNAcentral lists this ribosomal RNA (402 nucleotides) under uncultured bacterium. RNAcentral's name for it is "partial 16S ribosomal RNA". It matches the Rfam family "Bacterial small subunit ribosomal RNA", at positions 360 to 776 of the family's 1533-position model. The record is from RNAcentral.
AAUAUUGCACAAUGGGGGAAACCCUGAUGCAGCAACGCCGCGUGGAGGAUGAAGGUCNNNGGAUUNUAAACUCCUUUGAUGAGNGAANAAAAAAAUGACGGUACCUCAAAAACAAGCCACGGCUAACUACGUGCCAGCAGCCGCGGUAAUACGUAGGUGGCAAGCGUUGUCCGGAAUUAUUGGGCGUAAAGGGCGCGUAGGCGGUUCUUUAAGUCAGAUGUGAAAACCCGAGGCUCAACUUCGGGCGUGCAUUUGAAACUGGGGGACUAGAGUGCAGGAGAGGUAAGUGGAAUUCCUAGUGUAGCGGUGAAAUGCGUAGAUAUUAGGAGGAACACCAGUGGCGAAGGCAACUUACUGGACUGUAACUGACGCUGAGGCGCGGAAGCGUGGGGAGCAAACAGG